CGGAUGAACGCUAGCGGCAGGCUUAACACAUGCAAGUCGAGGGGCAGCAUAUUUGGUAGUAAUACUAAGUGAUGGCGACCGGCGCACGGGUGCGUAACGCGUAUGCAACCUACCAUAUACAGGGGGAUAACCUUUCGAAAGGGAGCCUAAUACCCCAUAGUAUUGUUAUUUGGCAUCAAGAAACAAUUAAAGAUUUAUUGGUAUAUGAUGGGCAUGCGUGCCAUUAGCUAGUUGGCGAGGUAACGGCUCACCAAGGCUACGAUGGCUAGGGGUUCUGAGAGGAAGAUCCCCCACACUGGUACUGAGACACGGACCAGACUCCUACGGGAGGCAGCAGUGAGGAAUAUUGGUCAAUGGACGGAAGUCUGAACCAGCCAUGUCGCGUGAAGGAGGACGGCCCUAAGGGUUGUAAACUUCUUUUGCAGGGGAAUAAAGUAUUCCACGAGAUGGGAUAUUGCAAGUACGCUGCGAAUAAGGAUCGGCUAACUCCGUG
This 493-nucleotide ribosomal RNA is filed under the name uncultured bacterium. Its description in RNAcentral is "bacterial SSU rRNA". It matches the Rfam family "Bacterial small subunit ribosomal RNA", at positions 27 to 507 of the family's 1533-position model. The record is from RNAcentral.